GACGAACGCUGGCGGCGUGCUUAACACAUGCAAGUCGAACGGAAAGGCCCUGCUUUUGUGGGGUGCUCGAGUGGCGAACGGGUGAGUAACACGUGAGUAACCUGCCCUUGACUUUGGGGUAACUUCAGGAAACUGGGGCUAAUACCGGAUCGGAGCUCCUGCUGCAUGGUGGGGGUUGGAACGUUUCGGCGGUUGGGGAUGGACGCGCGGCUUAUCAGCUUGUUGGUGGGGUAGUGGCUUACCAAGGCUUUGACGGGUAGCCGGCCUGAGAGGGUGACCGGCCACAUUGGGACUGAGAUACGGCCCAGACUCCUACGGGAGGCAGCAGUGGGGAAUAUUGCACAAUGGGCGGAAGCCUGAUGCAGCAACGCCGCGUGCGGGAUGACGGCCUUCGGGUUGUAAACCGCUUUCGCCUGUGACGAAGCGUGAGUGACGGUAAUGGGUAAAGAAGCACCGGCUAACUACGUG
This 468-nucleotide ribosomal RNA is filed under the name uncultured bacterium. Its description in RNAcentral is "partial 16S ribosomal RNA". It matches the Rfam family "Bacterial small subunit ribosomal RNA", at positions 28 to 507 of the family's 1533-position model. The record is from RNAcentral.